This 1202-nucleotide small RNA is filed under the name Pan troglodytes (chimpanzee). RNAcentral describes it as "processed transcript". The record is from RNAcentral. Lineage: Eukaryota; Metazoa; Chordata; Mammalia; Primates; Hominidae.
GGGAAAGCUAGACCUGCAGAGUGAAGAAAGCUUGUAAUAGAUGUCUGACUAAAGAAAGACUUGUGUUACUGUCUGCACACUGGAAAUUCUUCCUGGUUGUGAGACAAGACCUCAGACUUAUCUGAGCUAAGGGGAAGAAAGACUGCAACAGUGUUGGGCCUGUGGGUACACAGAAGUCAAGAAUUGAAGAUUGGAAACCUCCACCUAGAUUUCAGAGGACAUAUGGAAAUGCCUGGAUAUCUAGGCAGAAGUCUGCUACAGGGGCAGAGCCCUCAUGGAGAACCUCUACUAGGGCAGUGUGGAAAGAAAAGGUGGGGUUGGAGACUCCACACAGAGUCCCCACUGGCACACUGCCUGGUGGAGCUGUCAGAACAGGGCCACCAUUCUCCAGACCUCAGAAUGGUAGAUCAAAUGACAACUUGCACCAUGCACCAGGAAAAGCCACAAGCUCUCAAUAUCAGCCUGUGAAGGAGCUGCCUAAGGCCAUGGGAACCCACCUCUCCCAUCAGCAUGCCCCCGAUAUGAGACAUGGCGCCAAAGGAGAUUAUUUCAGAGAUUUAAGAUUUAAUGACUGCCCCACUGGAUUUUGGACUUGUGCAGGGCCUAUAGCCCCUUUGUUUUGGCCAAUUUCUCUCAUUUGGAAUGGGAGCAUUUACCCAAUGCCUGUAUCCCCAUUGUAUCUAGGAAGGAACUAACUUGUUUUUGAUUUUACAUGCUUAUAGGCAGAAGGGACUUGCCUUUUCUCAGAUGAGACUUCGGAUUAUGGACUUUGAGUUAAUGCUGAAAUCAUUUAAAAUUUUGGGGGACUGUUGGGUAGGCAUGAUUGGUUGGGAAAUGUAAAAAGACAUGAGAUUUGGAUGGGCUGGGGCAGAAUGAUAGGGUUUGGCUCUGUGUCCCCGCCCAAACCUUAUCUCGAAUUGUAAUUCUUAUGUGUUGAGGGAGGGAACUAUAAUCUCCACAUGUUGAGAGAGGGAGGUGAUUGGAUCAUGGGGGCAGUUUCCCCCAUGCUGUUCUCAUGAUAGUGAGUGAGUUCUCAUGAGAUCUGAUGGUUUUAAAGAUGUUUUGAAGUUCCUCCUUUUCUUUCUCUUGCUGCACUGUGAAGAAGGUGCUUGUUUCCCCUUUGCCUUAUGCCAUCAUUGUAAGUUUCCUGAGGCCUCCCUAGCUACGUGGAACUGUAGUCAAACUUAUUUCCUUUAUAAAUG